Long non-coding RNA from Triticum aestivum (bread wheat), 1100 nucleotides. RefSeq lists it as uncharacterized. The transcript is spliced from 3 exons. Lineage: Eukaryota; Viridiplantae; Streptophyta; Magnoliopsida; Poales; Poaceae. The record is from RefSeq and is a predicted model, not a curated record.
GCUUUUCUCCCACCGAAACGUCAGCUACGGAAUCAUGAUCUGGUCGCCCCGACUUCCAACCCCAUCUCUUUUUCUCCAAACGACACAAAUCCCAUGGGGCGAUGGACGCAGCUGAGCCCAGCCUCCUCUAGGGUUUGCGCCCACCAUCGGGAUGAGAACUGGCGGCUACGGCGGCGAUGGCGGGGCAAAGGCAGGAUUGCAAGACCAUCGGUUUGGAGGAUGGAUUGUCAGGAUGGAUCAUCAUCGGCAGGUAAGGUGUGGACAUUGAGAUGAUCUGGAUGGAUCAAUCAAAUACAUAUGGAUCAGUCAAUUAUCUGUAUUCUUCCUCCUCCUAUUGGUAUUGGAUUUAUUUUCAUGAUUCAUUGGGUGUCAUUGGCAUCAUCUCCAAUGUCUCCACCGUAAAGAACUCUAUCUCUGCGUGAAGGACAAGUUCCCCUACUAGCACUGAAUACAUCGCCCAUGAGCAGGUGGUCCUCAGAAUCUGCUGCAGCAAUAAGCAAUAAGCAAAGUGCUCGCCGCUUUCUACCAGCAAGCACGAUGCAUCUCAGUCUCAGCCUCUCUCGGGUACAAAGAAGUAAUGCCUUUACUUUUUUGUCGGGUGACCACCAUCACUUGAGUUGUACCCACAUGACCGGUUGCCUCCAGCCAAUCUACAUUCUAUGACGACCAACUACUGCUGGAUUAUUGGGUGUUUAUAGUGUUUUAACUGGUCAUGUCAGUUUUUUUAUCGUUGAUUGGUUAUCUUCAGUGCACUUCUCUUCUAGCAUCAGUUAAGUUUGAGGAGCUUUUCCACUCAUGGUUUACUCUAAUUUGUUCGUUAGUAGCUAUCCUCUCAUGGUUUACUCUGAAUUUUUUGCAAGGUGCUUCAUGGAAGGAUCAUCUAAGCAAACAUUUUGUUCUUUUGUACCAUGGUUUCAAGGUGGAAUUAGAAUAGAAUUUCUGCACAAGCCUCGGAUUCCUUGAUGUUUUGCAGAUAUAUGGAACACAUAUAGAUUCAUGAUGAAGCAUACACAUCGAGAAUUUUCUUUAGGAGAGGAAUGUGUGCUGUCAGAAGUUGUGAUAAUCAAGUGUUAGAGAUGGCAAGAACAUGUGGACCAUUG